AUGACCGCUUUACCAAUAGUUGAGACUCAAUCUGGAGACAUUUCCGCCUAUAUUCCUACUAAUGUAAUCUCCAUUACAGAUGGACAAAUAUUCUUAUCUGCGGAUCUAUUCAAUGCCGGAAUUCGACCCGCUAUUAAUGUGGGUAUUUCUGUUUCCAGAGUAGGAUCCGCGGCUCAAAUUAAAGCCAUGAAACAAGUAGCUAGCAAAUCAAAAUUGGAACUAGCUCAAUUCGCAGAGUUACAAGCUUUUGCACAAUUCGCCUCUGCUCUCGAUAAAACAAGUCAGAAUCAAUUGGCAAGGGGUCGACGAUUAAGGGAAUUGCUUAAACAAUCCCAAGCAAAUCCUCUCCCAGUGGAAGAGCAGAUAGCUACUAUUUAUAGCGGAACAAGAGGAUAUCUUGAUUUGUUAGAAAUUGAACAGGUAAAUAAAUUUCUGGAUGAGUUACGUAAACAUCUAAAAGAUACUAAACCUCAAUUCCAAGAAAUUAUAUCUUCUAGCAGGACAUUCACCGAGCAAGCGGAAAUCCUUUUGAAGGAAGCUAUUCAGGAACAGCUGGAACGGUUUUCUCUUCAGUAA
Molecule: ribosomal RNA, 576 nt
Filed under: Triticum aestivum (bread wheat)
Lineage: Eukaryota; Viridiplantae; Streptophyta; Magnoliopsida; Poales; Poaceae
Description: partial small subunit ribosomal RNA
Source: RNAcentral